Molecule: ribosomal RNA, 253 nt
Filed under: uncultured bacterium
Lineage: Bacteria
Description: partial 16S ribosomal RNA
Rfam family: Bacterial small subunit ribosomal RNA
Source: RNAcentral
UACGUAGGGGGCAAGCGUUGUCCGGAUUUAUUGGGCGUAAAGAGCGUGUAGGCGGCCAGGCAGGUCCGUUGUGAAAACUCGAGGCUCAACCUCGAGACGCCGGUGGAAACCGUAAGGCUAGAGUCCGGAAGAGGAGAGUGGAAUUCCUGGUGUAGCGGUGAAAUGCGCAGAUAUCAGGAAGAACACCCGUGGCGAAGGCGGCUCUCUGGGACGGUACUGACGCUGAGGCGCGAAAGCGUGGGGAGCGAACAGG